RNAcentral lists this ribosomal RNA (253 nucleotides) under uncultured bacterium. RNAcentral describes it as "partial 16S ribosomal RNA". It matches the Rfam family "Bacterial small subunit ribosomal RNA", at positions 524 to 776 of the family's 1533-position model. The record is from RNAcentral.
UACGUAGGGGGCGAGCGUUGUCCGGAGUUAUUGGGCGUAAAGCGCCCGCAGGCGGUGCGCCAAGUGUGGGGUGACAGCGACCGGCUUAACCGGUCGAGUGUCCUACAGACUGGCGCACUUGAGGGCCACAGAGGAACACAGAAUUCCGGGUGGAGUGGUGAAAUGCGUAGAUAUCCGGAGGAAUACCAAAGGCGAAGGCAGUGUUCUGGGUGGUACCUGACGCUCAGGGGCGAAAGCUAGGGGAGCGAACGGG